UACGGAGGGUGCAAGCGUUAAUCGGAAUUACUGGGCGUAAAGCGUGCGUAGGCGGUUUGUUUAGUCAGAUGUGAAAGCCCCGGGCUCAACCUGGGAACUGCAUUUGUGACUGCAAGGCUAGAGUGUAGCAGAGGGGGGUAGAAUUCCACGUGUAGCAGUGAAAUGCGUAGAUAUGUGGAGGAAUACCGAUGGCGAAGGCAGCCCCCUGGGCUAACACUGACGCUCAUGCACGAAAGCGUGGGGAGCAAACAGG
This 253-nucleotide ribosomal RNA is filed under the name uncultured bacterium. RNAcentral describes it as "partial 16S ribosomal RNA". It matches the Rfam family "Bacterial small subunit ribosomal RNA", at positions 524 to 776 of the family's 1533-position model. The record is from RNAcentral.